This 644-nucleotide ribosomal RNA is filed under the name Staphylococcus pseudintermedius. RNAcentral's name for it is "partial 23S ribosomal RNA". It matches the Rfam family "Bacterial large subunit ribosomal RNA", at positions 545 to 1190 of the family's 2925-position model. The record is from RNAcentral. Lineage: Bacteria; Bacillati; Bacillota; Bacilli; Caryophanales; Staphylococcaceae.
AGAACUUGAAACCGUGUGCUUACAAGUAGUCAGAGCCCGUUAAUGGGUGAUGGCGUGCCUUUUGUAGAAUGAACCGGCGAGUUACGAUCUGAUGCAAGGUUAAGCAGAAAAUGUGGAGCCGUAGCGAAAGCGAGUCUGAAUAGGGCGAAUGAGUAUUUGGUCGUAGACCCGAAACCAGGUGAUCUACCCUUGGUCAGGUUGAAGUUCAGGUAACACUGAAUGGAGGACCGAACCGACUUACGUUGAAAAGUGAGCGGAUGAACUGAGGGUAGCGGAGAAAUUCCAAUCGAACUUGGAGAUAGCUGGUUCUCUCCGAAAUAGCUUUAGGGCUAGCCUCAAGUGAUGAUUAUUGGAGGUAGAGCACUGUUUGGACGAGGGGCCCCUCUCGGGUUACCGAAUUCAGACAAACUCCGAAUGCCAAAUAAUUUAACUUGGGAGUCAGAAUGUGGGUGAUAAGGUCCAUAUUCGAAAGGGAAACAGCCCAGACCACCAGCUAAGGUCCCAAAAUAUAUGUUAAGUGGAAAAGGAUGUGGCGUUGCCCAGACAACUAGGAUGUUGGCUUAGAAGCAGCCAUCAUUUAAAGAGUGCGUAAUAGCUCACUAGUCGAGUGACACUGCGCCGAAAAUGUACCGGGGCUAAACAUA